AACGAACGCUGGCGGCAUGCCUAACACAUGCAAGUCGAACGAGACCUUCGGGUCUAGUGGCGCACGGGUGCGUAACGCGUGGGAAUCUGCCCUUGGGUUCGGAAUAACAGUUGGAAACGACUGCUAAUACCGGAUGAUGACGUAAGUCCAAAGAUUUAUCGCCCAGGGAUGAGCCCGCGUAGGAUUAGCUAGUUGGUGGGGUAAAGGCCUACCAAGGCGACGAUCCUUAGCUGGUCUGAGAGGAUGAUCAGCCACACUGGGACUGAGACACGGCCCAGACUCCUACGGGAGGCAGCAGUGGGGAAUAUUGGACAAUGGGCGAAAGCCUGAUCCAGCAAUGCCGCGAGAGUGAUGAAGGCCUUAGGGUUGUAAAGCUCUUUUACCCGGGAUGAUAAUGACAGUACCGGGAGAAUAAGCCCCGGCUAACUCCGUG
RNAcentral lists this ribosomal RNA (433 nucleotides) under uncultured bacterium. RNAcentral's name for it is "partial 16S ribosomal RNA". It matches the Rfam family "Bacterial small subunit ribosomal RNA", at positions 29 to 507 of the family's 1533-position model. The record is from RNAcentral.